UCUGCUCAGUGAUUUUUAAACAGCCGCGGUAUAUUGACCGUGCAAAGGUAGCAUAAUAAUUAGUUUUUUAAUUGAAAGCUGGAAUGAAAGAUUUGACGAAAAAAAAUCUGUCUCUAAUUAAUUGAAUGAAUUUGUUUUUUUAGUGAGAAAACUAAAAUAAAAUUAAAAGACGAGAAGACCCUGUAGAUCUUUAUAACAAAUUAUAAAUUAUGCAUCAGUUUAAUUAAUUAAUUUAUAAUUUGUUAUUUUGUUGGGGUGACAGGAAAAUUAAAUAAACUUUUCUUUUUUGACUUAACAAUUAUUUUUGAUUAAAUGAUCCAAUUUUAUUGAUUAUAAGAUUAAGAUACCUAAGGGAUAACAGCGUAAUUUUUUUGGAGAGUUCAAAUCGAUAAAGAAGUUUGCGACCUCGAUGUUGGAUUAAAAUUUGCUUUUGGUGAAGUAGUUAAAAGUAUUGGUCUGUUCGACC
Molecule: ribosomal RNA, 466 nt
Filed under: Micromalthus debilis
Lineage: Eukaryota; Metazoa; Arthropoda; Insecta; Coleoptera; Micromalthidae
Description: partial 16S ribosomal RNA
Rfam family: Bacterial large subunit ribosomal RNA
Source: RNAcentral